GUAAAGGCAGAGAAGAGGAGUAGUAGUCCUCAUCCUUAUUGUACAGUUUCCAGAGAGCCGGUGGGUGGUGCGAACCGGUAUAAGGACGGAUGAACUCGCCUCGGAGCUGCUCCGGUGAACGCGGACAUGACCAGUGUCCCCUAGCCGGAGACGUCGCCCGCGUGAAGGGAAAAAUGAGGUCCGCUUCAGUGAGAUUUUUACUCACUUGGGGAGGAUAAAAAGGGUGGUACCACGGAGCAAAGUCUUCGUCCCUUGU
This 256-nucleotide non-coding RNA is filed under the name Geobacter metallireducens. Its description in RNAcentral is "T-box sequence". It matches the Rfam family "T-box leader". From Rfam's summary of the family: Uncharged tRNA acts as the effector for transcription antitermination of genes in the T-box leader family. T-boxes are found upstream of many aminoacyl-tRNA synthetase genes and some amino acid biosynthetic genes usually in Gram-positive bacteria. The anticodon of a specific tRNA base pairs to a specifier sequence within the T-box motif, and the NCCA acceptor tail of the tRNA base pairs to a conserved bulge in the T-box antiterminator hairpin. The record is from RNAcentral. Lineage: Bacteria; Pseudomonadati; Thermodesulfobacteriota; Desulfuromonadia; Geobacterales; Geobacteraceae.